CGAGGGGGGCGAGCGUUGUUCGGAAUUAUUGGGCGUAAAGGGUGCGUAGGCGGUUUGGUAAGUCUUGUGUGAAAUCUCCAGGCUCAACUUGGAGUCUGCACGAGAAACUGCCGGGCUUGAGUGUGGGAGAGGUGAGUGGAAUUCCUGGUGUAGCGGUGAAAUGCGUAGAUAUCAGGAGGAACACCUGUGGCGAAAGCGGCUCACUGGACCACAACUGACGCUGAUGCACGAAAGCUAGGGGAGCAAACAGGAUUAGAUACCCUGGUAGUCCUAGCCCUAAACGAUGACUGCUUGGUGUGACGGGUACCCAAUCCCGCCGUGCCGUAGCUAACGCGUUAAGCAGUCCGCCUGGGGAGUACGGUCGCAAGGCUG
Molecule: ribosomal RNA, 372 nt
Filed under: uncultured organism
Description: bacterial SSU rRNA
Rfam family: Bacterial small subunit ribosomal RNA
Source: RNAcentral